This 778-nucleotide ribosomal RNA is filed under the name Boletopsis leucomelaena. RNAcentral's name for it is "partial large subunit ribosomal RNA". It matches the Rfam family "Eukaryotic large subunit ribosomal RNA", at positions 99 to 854 of the family's 3401-position model. The record is from RNAcentral. Lineage: Eukaryota; Fungi; Basidiomycota; Agaricomycetes; Thelephorales; Thelephoraceae.
CGGGAAAAGCUCAAAUUUAAAAUCUGGCGUGCCUUUGGCCGUCCGAGUUGUAGUCUGGAGAAGUGUUUUCUGUGCCGGACCGUGUACAAGUCCCUUGGAACAGGGCCUCAUAGAGGGUGAGAAUCCCGUCUUUGACACGGACUACCGGUGCUCUGUGAUGCGCUCUCAACGAGUCGAGUUGUUUGGGAAUGCAGCUCAAAAUGGGUGGUAAAUUCCAUCUAAAGCUAAAUAUAGGCGAGAGACCGAUAGCGAACAAGUACCGUGAGGGAAAGAUGAAAAGCACUUUGGAAAGAGAGUUAAACAGUACGUGAAAUUGCUGAAAGGGAAACGCUUGAAGUCAGUCAUGUCUGCCAGGACUCAGCUUUGCAUUUUUUGCUUGGUGCACUUUCUGGUUGAUGGGCCAGCGUCGAUUUUGACCGUUGGAGAAAGGUGGAGGAAAUGUGGCACCUUUCGAGGUGUGUUAUAGUCCUCUGCUGUAUGUGACGGUUGGGAUCGAGGACCGCAGCACGCCUUUAUGGCCGGGGGUCACACCCACGUUACGUGCUUAGGAUGCUGGCUUAAUGGCUUUAAGCGACCCGUCUUGAAACACGGACCAAGGAGUCUAACUUGCCUGCGAGUGUUUGGGUGGAAAACCCAAGCGCGCAAUGAAAGUGAUAGUUGAGACCUCUGUCGUGGAGGGCAUCGACGCCCGGACUUGAUCUACGGAGACGGUUCUGCGGUAGAGCAUGCAUGUUGGGACCCGAAAGAUGGUGAACUAUGCCUGAAUAGGGUGAAGCCA